This 222-nucleotide unclassified non-coding RNA is filed under the name Hevea brasiliensis (rubber tree). Lineage: Eukaryota; Viridiplantae; Streptophyta; Magnoliopsida; Malpighiales; Euphorbiaceae. The record is from RNAcentral.
GGGUUCAGUCGUAAAUCAAAUUGAUUUCCACGCGAAUUCACUAGCACGGGAAAACGUCGAGCUCACGAACAGAUUGAAAACAGAAGGACCGAGCUUAUGAUUCCCCAAAUUAGGGCGUAGGAGAAAUGUGCUGACGGUCUCGUCGACGUUGAGAGCGUAGACGUAGAUUCAAUUUGGGGCAGGGGAAGGCGCGAAGAGCAAAAGGCGGCAAAUCGAGAGCUG